This 255-nucleotide ribosomal RNA is filed under the name uncultured Oscillospiraceae bacterium. RNAcentral's name for it is "partial 16S ribosomal RNA". It matches the Rfam family "Bacterial small subunit ribosomal RNA", at positions 83 to 339 of the family's 1533-position model. The record is from RNAcentral. Lineage: Bacteria; Bacillati; Bacillota; Clostridia; Eubacteriales; Oscillospiraceae.
UUCUUUGACUUAGUGGCGGACGGGUGAGUAAUGCGUGAGCAACCUGCCUUUCAAGGGGGACAACAGUUGGAAACGACUGCUAAUACCGCAUGAUAUAUUCGGAUGGCAUCGUCUGAAUAUCAAAGAUUUAUCGCUGAAAGAUGGGCUCACGUCUGAUUAGUUAGUUGGUGAGGUAACGGCUCACCAAGACUGCGAUCAGUAGCCGGACUGAGAGGUUGAACGGCCACAUUGGGACUGAGAUACGGCCCAGACUCC